GCCCCAGGAAGCUCAGAGAUUUAAGGACGCUGGCAGCCGACUUUUGGGUUAUCUUCACAAAAGUAAUUUAAUUUUAGAAUGUGGAAUAUUUGGGGCGCCUGGGUGGCUCAGUCAGUUAAGUGUCCGACUUCAGCUCAGGUCAUGAUCUCGGAGUUUGUGGGUUCGAGCCCAGCGUCAGACUCUGUGCUGACACCUCAGAGCCUGGAGCCUGCUUCGGAUUCUGUCUGCCUCUCUCUCUCUCUCUCUCUCACCCCUCCUCCACUCACACUCUGUGUCUCUCUCUGUCAAAAAUAAAUAAACAUUAUUUAUUUACUUUUUUUUAAAGAACGUGGAAUACAGAGAAACAGCACUGGACCUUUGUACCAAGGACUCCUGCAGUGGUGUAGGAUUUACUGGAGGACCCAGAGACUCCAUCUGGACCCUAAUCAAUACCGGACACAAUUACAUGCACAUCGCCUGCUAUUCCUGGUUGAUUUGUAAGCCGAGAAAAUCUCUGAGGCAGAAAGUCAGUGAAGAAGUUGGGAAAACCAGAGGCCUGUCUUCUGCAGAAAUCGGACGAAAAGUAAGUUGCAAAAUUAAUGGAAUGUCUUGGCGUCCAAUAAAGAGUAUGUUAUGCUGCAACAGAGUAGGACCUAUGCGUGUACCUGUUCAUUCACUUAACAUACAGAAUCAAGCACUGACGUUUACAAUCCCGUUCAUUGUUCUGGGCACUGGGGAAACAGCAAAGAAGAAAACAGUCCUGUUAUUAUGGUGAUUUCAUUCUGGAGAGCAGAAAAGGUAAUCUAGUAACUAUAUACAGUAUGUCAACUAACAAUGAGUGCAAUGGAGAAAGAUAAAGUAGAGUGAUGGGAAGGACCGUGUUGGAGGAGGGGGCUGGUUGAUUUGCUGUUUUAUUUUUCAUAGAGUGAUCUAGGAAGGCAUCACUGAUAAGAUAACAUUUAAGCAGCGAAGUGUAAGAAGUGAGAGUGAGCCACGGGUUCGUCAAGGAGAAUGUUUUUGUUUUUGUUUUUUCUUUUUUUUGUAAAAGGAGCAGCAAGUGAAAGAACUCGGGGCGUUAGUGCAUUUAGUCAACAGGAAGGAGGCCAGGGAGUGCAGACAUGAGAGGACAAAGGGGAGAGCGGUGGGGGAAGAGGUUGGAAAGCUAGCAGACAACCCAAGUAAUGGAAGUCUUAUUGCUUAUUGCUGGGACUUUGGAUUUGAAAUAGGAGGAUUUGAAAUAGGAGGCCACAGAAGCGUUUUGGCAGUUAAGUGACAUGAUCUGGCAAAUGUUUUUUAAGGGCUUUAUAAGGGCUUGCUUUGCUGCCCUAUGGUAAGCCUGCAUUGUAGAAGGGAGGUAGGAAAGAGGCACAGAGGUCACGUAGGAGGCAUUUCAAUCAAACAAUGGAGGAAAGACGAGAACUUGGGUGAGAAUGGUAAGACGCCGCCAUGCCCCGGAUGUGUGGUGAAGGAAACCCCCAUAGCUCAUACCUCGUGAUAACUUAAAUAUGGGGUUGGACAGGAAGUGAAGUGUAAAGAAAGAAAAGACUCCUGGCAGCGGGGAGGAUAUCUUACCCUUAGAGAAGAGGCUUCCAAAUGUGAUAGUUACCUAUUUAUUCAAAGCCUUCCUAAUAAAAAGUAUCUAUUUCUGGGGCA
RNAcentral lists this long non-coding RNA (1632 nucleotides) under Felis catus (domestic cat). RNAcentral's name for it is "lncRNA (ENSFCAG00000053453.1)". Lineage: Eukaryota; Metazoa; Chordata; Mammalia; Carnivora; Felidae. The record is from RNAcentral.